RNAcentral lists this ribosomal RNA (483 nucleotides) under uncultured bacterium. Its description in RNAcentral is "partial 16S ribosomal RNA". It matches the Rfam family "Bacterial small subunit ribosomal RNA", at positions 30 to 507 of the family's 1533-position model. The record is from RNAcentral.
UUGCACGCUGGCGGCAGGCCUAACACAUGCAAGUCGAGCGGAUGAAGGGAGCUUGCUCCUGGAUUCAGCGGCGGACGGGUGAGUAAUGCCUAGGAAUCUGCCUGGUAGUGGGGGAUAACGUCCGGAAACGGGCGCUAAUACCGCAUACGUCCUGAGGGAGAAAGUGGGGGAUCUUCGGACCUCACGCUAUCAGAUGAGCCUAGGUCGGAUUAGCUAGUUGGGGGGGUAAAGGCCUACCAAGGCGACGAUCCGUAACUGGUCUGAGAGGAUGAUCAGUCACACUGGAACUGAGACACGGUCCAGACUCCUACGGGAGGCAGCAGUGGGGAAUAUUGGACAAUGGGCGAAAGCCUGAUCCAGCCAUGCCGCGUGUGUGAAGAAGGUCUUCUGAUUGUAAAGCACUUUAAGUUGGGAGGAAGGGCAGUAAGUUAAUACCUUGCUGUUUUGACGUUACCAACAGAAUAAGCACCGGCUAACUUCGUG